GACCAGGAUAGCGUUUUUUCGUUUUCUGCUAUAGUUGACAUAUCCGAUGGUUUUAGAUAGCGUUUGUAUUUUUGGAAACGCUAUGAUAGAGCGGCAUAAUUGGAAACGCUAUGAUAGUAUUCAUUUAAUAGCACAUAAAAUAAUAAACGUUAUUAUAGUAUACUUUUUGAAUCCUUAAACCCUAAACAAACUUCUGAACCAUAUACUCUAAAAAGCUAAAUUUAACUAAUAUAGUUAUAAUCCUUAUAAUAUUUUAGAAAUUAAACUCCAAAUCUUAAAUAUAGAACUAUAAACUUAAAUAUUUUAAAAUUAAACACCAAACCUAUAUACAUUAAAUACAAACCCUAUAUUAUACAUAAUCUCUAAAUCUAAAAUCAUAAACUUCAUAUUUGAUAGUUCUAAAAUUUCAAUACUAAAACAUACACGUUAAGACUAAAAUAAAUUUAUUAUAUCUAUACUCACAGAAUUUCAACACAAAACCUUAACCUUUUUUUUUAUCAAAAAUCUGAAAGAUAAUACUUAUAAAAAUAUAAUCUUUUCAAAUUUAAUUUUUCAAACCUUAAAUCUAACCUUAGAACUCUAUCACAUAGACUUUUGCUCUAAAAUCUUAUACUUUAAAUCUGAAAUUCAAUAGUUCUUCAUUAACUUUAUAAACGUAAAUGAUAAUUUAGGUUAUAUAUUAAUAAAAUUAGUUACACAAUAAAACAAUUUUUGAUUGGUUUUAAUCCAAUCGUUAUAACUCAUUCUUUUGUUAAUCUUUUUUUUUUUUUUCUAAUUGGUCAGUUAAUAAAACAAAGAGAAAAUUUUUUCAUUGGUGAAAACAGGAGGGUGAGGAUAGCUUCUAUAUUUGAUCUCCACCGUAGAUUUAACUCGAUCUAAGGAGCAUAAGUGAUUCACUUUAAUAUUUUUUUUUUUUGCAUUUCUUGUCUCUUCUUCUCUAGCAAUCUCUCGUCUCCUCCUCUCUCACUAUCUCUUCAAUCCUCAUCUCACGAUCUCUCAAACUUGCUGUCUGUCGUCACGGAUUUAAGCUCACCACCUCUGCUCAAGUCUGGAAACCAUGACCCCUCGCCUCCUCCCCUUGAUCUGGAAUAAUGAUGACAUAAAGGAGGUAAUGAUGAUCCAGAGACAGAGGCGGCGGCCGACGUACAAAGAGGUUGAAGACGGCGGGGAGUUACGAAGACGACGGGCGAUGCACAAAAAGAGGCCUACGAAGUCAUAAUGGAAGAGGAAGGGUAAGCUAGCUGUAGUGAUGGAGGUAGAUUCAAGCAAGAAGAGAAGAGAGGCGGGCAAGAGAAGAAGAAGAAGAGAGGCGGAGAAAGAACGUAGACUAGGUUUUAGUUUUAGGUUUAGCUUUUCAAUUUUUCUUUAAAAAAUUGGUUUAGUUUAGUUUACUUUCAUGUAUCGGUAUAAAAGAAUUGAUAUAUAAAAUUUUAAAUUUUUUUUCUUA
Long non-coding RNA from Brassica napus (rape), 1447 nucleotides. RefSeq lists it as uncharacterized. The record is from RefSeq and is a predicted model, not a curated record. Lineage: Eukaryota; Viridiplantae; Streptophyta; Magnoliopsida; Brassicales; Brassicaceae. The transcript is spliced from 2 exons.